AAAAAAAAAAGAAGGAGAAAAAGAGAGAAAAAGGAAAAAAAAAAUUGCAGAAAAUUUCCCAGAAAAUGAGCCAGGGUUGGUGAAGAAGCCUACUUCAAGACCAAAUUUCGAUCGUGUUCUUGAUCCUCUUGGUUUUCCUUCAGUUUCUGCAUUCACUAUGUUGGUAAAUCUUUAACUUUCAUUCAGAAAACAUCCCGAAAUACCAUCUUCAGCAGUCUCAAAUUUUGGCUCGAAAUUAGCCAGUCGUCAAUACUUAGAUCUUCGUCGACAAAAAAUUUGCAGCUUCAAACCUGUCGUCUGAACGCAUUUCUCCAGAUUUCUCACGUUGUUUUGGCCCCAUAAACAUUAGGAGGUAACCCUCCCUCACUCUCCUUUCUUUUCCAACCUGUUUGCACAUAAAAAUUCAAGAAAUUUGGCCCUUUUUUGGUUCAUGAUGCAGUUUUUCUUUGUGAUUUUGCUGGGUAUUAUACAUUUUGAUGGGUCGGGUGGAUUCUGUUCGAACUAAGAGAUGACAAGGCUUAGAAGUUGAUUGUGAAUACUUGUUUUUGUUGUUUUUGCAAGUUCCGUAGCUUGUAAUAAAAAUCUUGCUUUGGGAUUUCUUAUGAACAAAAAGCCAUCAACUUUCUUUCAUCCGUGAACGGAAUGGAUGUGAUCCAUGGGUUUUGAUGAUUUGAUUUCAUCAAAGUGUUGGGAUAGUUUGAUGCUCGAUGGUUCAAGGGUUUGGCUGAAAAAUGUUAGCUUUUGAUAAACCCAUCUAGGAUUCACCAGAUAGCUAGUUUUGUUUUCUUUGUCGUUGCAUGUUCUUUCAUUUGGUUCCUCAUUUGAUCUUCAAUGACUUGUUUCCUGCAGUUGGGUUGUGUUAAUCUAAGAGUGUUGAAGUAAUGGGUUUUGGUUAAUGAAUUUGCUAGUUUUGGCUUGAAAUUGAGAAGGAUGUCUGAAUAAGUUGCAAAGUAGCAGUAGGAAAUUGCAGAAGAAAGAGAGCUUCUCGGAAGGCUACAUGAAAUAUUUCCAAAAAUUGUAUUUUGACCCCCGAAUUGUUGCUUAAUUUUGCUAUGGCACAAAACAUAUGGAAAAAUCAAUCAAUUUUACUAUUUUUGAAAUUCAAUCAUUUUCUUAUGUUUUAGUCAUAUUUUAGACAAUUUUAUUUUUUGGUUUAGGAGAUAAUUAGAGCUUAAUUAGUUUUAGAGUUUUAUUUUGCUUUGAUUUUGACCCCUAACAUUUGUGAUAAUUAUAAUUGACCCCCAAAACUUUUUCAAUGUUUCAAUUAGGUCCCUACUUGUUUUAAAUUCUUGAAUAUAGGUUGCUUUAAUUGAUCAAUUUCAUGAUUAUUUUCAUUUCUUUACUUGUUAUUGCUUUUAUUUGUUAAUUAAAUUGGUGUCUUGAUAAUUUUUGUUAAUUUUGGAAUUAAAUAGGGCAAAUCCAAUCCCCCAUUAGCUACUACGUCAAGGGAGAUAUUUUCUUGUGUUAUUUUAAAUCCUCCUAUGUGCUCCUAUGUGAUUUUAUAUGUGUAAUUGCCUAUUUUUGAAUGUUUAUUUUAUUUUAUUUAUUCACUUUAUUUGUUUUUAAUUUUGUAUAUUUAUUUUAAUUUAAUUUUUGAUUAUUUGAGAGUCAUUUAAAUGCCAAAUUGUAAUAGAUAGGGAGUUCAAGACAUGUAUUUAGCUAGUUCACGUAAUAGAUAGGAUUUAAUUCUUGAUAAAAAUGUAUUUAGCUAGGUUAUUAUUUUAUUCUUUCCUCCCUUAUAUUGUAGUUAGGGUCUCGAAUGUAAUAGUUAGGUCUCUAUUUGCUUUUAUUUGCUUGUGUGGAUGCAUGCUUAUGUGUUUACGUGUUUACUCACUUUUUUAAGGUCUUUGCAUCUAAAUACCAUGUUUAUGUGCUAUGUGCUCUAUGUGAUUUAUGUGUUUACUUGCUUUUAUUAUGUGUUAUAUGAUUUAUGUAAAUAUAAUAAAUACAUGACGUCACCACACUAGUCCAACACUAGUUGUGGCUACUCUCCUCGAUUUCUCACUAGUCCAAUGGUAGUGAAUACUUUUACAAAUGGGUUAGUCCAAUGCUAGACCCUUAGAGACCGUCCAGGCGCUAGACCAUAUUUAUGUAACAAUCACUACAUUUCAUGCAUGUUUUCUAUUUUUUAGGAUCCUUACCAUUUUUUGCAUGAUAUUUUCUCUAUACGUAUAUCCCUUAUCCCUAUGUGAGACAUGACAUUAGAUUUGCAUUUCAUUUAAGGAAAGUUAAAAAUAGGUUAGAUCAUUUGCUUGAUUAGAUUAGGAGAGAACCCUUCAAAUAUGAGAUAUGGACGAGUAUGGCUUUUUAGCCUUAGCACGCUUGUAUCUCCUCUAUAAAAAAGGAAAAUCUAGUCACGAAUCUUAGUUCCCCGCACCCGUCAUGUUGCAUUUCUCUUUUAGAUCACGUAUAUAUUAUAAUUUUUUCGUUUCUUCGAGUCACACUCUUUGCAUACUCGUGACCUCUUCUAAGAGUCAUUUUGGACAUCACAAUUAAUGUGAUUCGUACCAAUUAAACUUUGAAAAGAUAUUUCGAUCCUCCUGAUAUCCAUUAGGUUUAGGUUUGCAUCCAUAGAGUAACAUCCAAAUGUGAUAAGUUUUAUAGGUUAAAUUAAGAAAAUUUUCGACUAAAUCACGCAACUAGCCUUGGUUAGGUUGAAAGGGUGUUUUGGAUUUUAUCCUUGUCUUCCCUUUCUUAAACCAUGACUCUCAAACUUCUUUCUCUUAUUUUUCGAAGAUUUGGAGUCAUUUAAAAAGGGUUUUCUCUAUUUUUUAUUAAAAUAUAUUUUUAGGUGACUUAGUACACCUUAACUCAAUACUAAGUGACGACUCUUUUUUUUUUUAAAAUCCUUUUUAAACUAUUAUUUUGGGCCAAAAUCACCCCACUUUUUAAGUCCCAUUUGAGGCCCUUUUUCUUUAUUUAUUCUCUAAAAAUCAAAAACUCAUUUUUUAAUCAAACUUAAUCAAAAAUUCAUUUUUAUAAACCCAUAAUUUUAUUUUUCCAAAAAAUGGGGCUUGCCAACUAUGUAAUGUAAUUUCUUCAGUUUAGAUUACAAAUUAUAAACAUUUUUUAUACCAUCCUAUGCUAAUUUCUUGCACAGUAUGCAUCACACUAUUCAUCUUUAUCAACCUAUAAAGUAUAAAGGAGAAUGCAAUUGUGGUGGGUGUUGGAUUUUUUUUUCUGCUGAUGCGACAGCCACUAAUUCGCUGGGGUAUGGUUGUUUGGUUGAGGCGAGAAUUGUUUGACCCUUUUUCCCAUUUUUUUAAAACUCUUGUCUUGGUUUGCCAGACGAUUGUAGUUAGUGGUGCCAAGAAACACAAAAUGGGUUUAAAUUGCUGGGUUUUGUAUUGUUACUCUUAUUUACUGGCUACAUUUAAUGCUAAGUGGCGGCCUUAUUGAUUGACAGCUGUUGACAUGGGUGUUGGGCUCAAUAUGGGCAACCCUAUUUUACAGUAAUGCGCAUCCUUUGCAUAUGGAAUUAUAUGCAUUUUAAUCAUCGACUGUUAAUGUUACCUUACCUAUAUUUGUAAUAACACCAACAACUUUCAUUAUGGAUCUGCCAAAAAAUUGCUUUUUGGCUCUUGUGUGAUUGAGGUUGAUUGCUCUGGUCUGUGUUCCAUAUAAUUCAAUAGAGGAGGCAAUUUUUGCCAUCCAGAAUUUUACCUUUAAUCAUGAUAAUUACCAGUAUUUGUGCUAUUCAAACAAUUUCCUCACUUUUGCUUUGGGUUUUUUUUACCUCAUAAUUAAUCAGCUUAUCUCUUUCUUUUUCCCUUGCUUCCUUGGAAUUGCCUUCUAGCUAACUAUCGCCGUGGAGUUUCAUCUAUAGCACUACCAUUAUCAUUAAGUUGCUUUGUAAGUUUAAUGUGCUACUGAAAUUUUUUUUUUGUAAAGUCAACAUUACUGUUCUAUUGUAUGAAUCUUUCUUUUGGUGAUCCUUUGCCAUUCCAUCGUUUAUGCACUUUUUCCUGCUACAAAUUUUGUUUUGGUUAGAUUUUGCAUUUAAGUCUUUGCUCUGUUUCAUAUAUAUAUAUAUAUAUAUAUAUAUAUAUAUAUAUAUAUAUAUAUGUAUAUAUGUACAUAUGCAUGUAUAAAUAACCAGAAAAGGUAUUACUAUACUCAAAGAACCUACCUUAGAAAUAACAUUAGAGUUACAAGAGAAGCAUGGUGGGACUAGACAAUUAGAAAAAAAAAAGAAAAAGAAGAUAUAAAUAUAGACAAAUUUUUAGAUAUAAUCCAAAAGAAAAUAAUAGAAAAAGAAUGCAAAUGUAAAAUACCAGGACAAUGUAAAGAACUUCUAGAAGAAAACUUAGGAUUAAAGUUAGAAGAAAUUUAUGAUGAAUUAGAAUCUGUAUGGAACUUAUAGACAAUAAAAAACAUAUAAUCUACUAGAAACAAGGAUAGAAGAAAUUGAUAAAAUUAUAAGUAAAUUAGAAAUAUUAGGAGAAAAUCCAACAAAGUUUUGGAAAGAAGAUAAAAUAUAUUGUAAAUUAGAAAUCUUAAAUCCAAAUCUAAAAAUUUCCAUAGAAAAAAUAGAAGUUAGUAAUAAAGAAAUCAAAGAAUUUGAAAUGCAUAUAGAAGACCUUAAAAAAUUAAGAGUAAUAAGAAGAAAUGAAAGUCCACAUAGAAGCGUAGCAUUCAUAGUUAACAAACAUAGCGAAAUUACUAGAGGAAAAAGUAGGAUGGUAAUUAAUUAUAAAAGAUUAAAUGAUAAUACAAAAGAAAAUAGUUAUGAUAUACCAGACAAAAACCAAUUAAUUAGUAAAUAUAUAUUCAAGAUAAAUAUAUAUUUAGUAAAGUUUGAUUUUAAGUUAGGAUUUUGGCAAAUCAAAAUGCAUCCUGAUAGCAUAGAAUGGACAGCUUUUACCAACCCAUUAGGACAUUUUGAAUGAUUAGUUAUGCCUUUUGGACUUAAAAAUGCACCUGCAGUAUUUCAACAAAAAAUGGAUAAUAUAUUUAGUAAGUAUAGUGAACUUGUAUUAGUAUACAUAGAUGAUAUUCUAGUAUUUUCUAAAACUAGAAAUGAACAUAUUAGUCAUUUAAAAUUAGUUUUUACAGAAUUUCUCAAACAUGGUAUAAUCAUAAGCUCUAAAACAGCACAAUUUUUUUUAGAAAAAAUAUAGAAUUUUUAGGAAUAGAAAUAGAACAAGAGAAAAUAAAAUUACAACCCCUAUUAAUAAAAGGAUCCUAGAGUUUCUUGAUAAAAUAGAGGAAAUAAAGAAGUUACAAUAGUUUUUAAAACUAUUAAAUUAUGCUAAGUCAUUUAUUAUGCUAAGCCAUUUAUUAAAAAUUUAAGUAGGAUGAUAGGACCACUUUUUGCUAAAACUUCAUUAAAAGAACAGAAAUAUUUUAAUAAAGAAGAUAUAUGUUAAUGCGCAAAUUAGGCAGUUUAUUUGUUAAUAUUUGCCCCUUUAUUUUGACCAAAUGUUGUGAUAAUGUGCCAAAUUCUACUUAUAUUUGAAUUUUUGUGUGAUUUCUAGGAACUUCAAGUCAAUUGAGGUAGAAAAGGAGAAAUUGAAGCCUAAUUGAGGAAAUUCCAUUAAGAAAAUCUUGAUACAAGUUUCUUAGUUGAUACUUGAAAACCGCUACAUCAGGGAUG
RNAcentral lists this long non-coding RNA (5596 nucleotides) under Coffea arabica (coffee). Its description in RNAcentral is "long non-coding RNA (CARA_LNC003277)". Lineage: Eukaryota; Viridiplantae; Streptophyta; Magnoliopsida; Gentianales; Rubiaceae. The record is from RNAcentral.